UACGUAGGUGGCAAGCGUUGUCCGGAUUUACUGGGCGUAAAGAGCGCGCAGGCGGUCGUGCAAGUCGAGUGUGAAAGCCCCCGGCUCAACUGGGGAGGGUCACUCGAAACUGCUCGACUCGAAGGCGGGAGAGGGAAGUGGAAUUCCCGGUGUAGUGGUGAAAUGCGUAGAUAUCGGGAGGAACACCAGUGGCGAAGGCGACUUCCUGGCCCGUUCUUGACGCUGAGGCGCGAAAGCUAGGGGAGCAAACGGG
RNAcentral lists this ribosomal RNA (253 nucleotides) under uncultured bacterium. RNAcentral's name for it is "partial 16S ribosomal RNA". It matches the Rfam family "Bacterial small subunit ribosomal RNA", at positions 524 to 776 of the family's 1533-position model. The record is from RNAcentral.